AGCAUAUGUUGCUGGCAACCGAAACUGUUUGAUAUCGGCAUUUCCAAUGGGUUAAACACUUGCUGGAAGCUCGAGUCCAGACAUAGAAUUGAGUUGCAGCUUAUGACCAAGAGAUUGGAGUAAGGCCGAGAGAGCAAAGUUUGCUGGCCUAACACUUACCAUGGGGGAGAUGUUGAUUGGAGAAAAAAGAGGGAUUCCUUCCGACCAACCUCCAAAGUGCGAAAAUGAAAAAGAAGAAAGAAAAGGGAGCACCAAGAGUGGGAGGGGGCAAAUUUCUCUCCAUUGAGCUGAAGGUGAUGGAAUGAUUUUCCUCGAAGCAAACCUCAAAGGUGCUUAUAAAAAAAGAAAAGAAAAGAAAAAGAAACAUAUGGGGGCACCAAGACGGUGAGCUGAAGGUACACAUAAAUGCUUUAUAUUCUCCCUGCUGCCAAGGUGUAUGCCUAGCUCUGUCUUCAAACACUGCUUUAUAGUGCUCAGAUGAGGCCUUCAAGUGUAUUUUCAUACUGAGGAAAAUUGCUGGCCAAUGAAGCUCAACCAAGAGGUUGUGAAGAAACAGAGCUUCCAACGUUUCAUCUUGGUGAUGAAGCCUUGAAGCCCAUGUCCUCUUGAAUAGCCUAUUCUCACGUCCUUAAUUUGUUAACUUGAACGUGCUCAUCUUCUUUGGGCAUCCCACGUGAGCCAAGAGUCGUCCUACAUUAAGAGAUGGAUUGUGCGCUGUGGAUUGUUCAACAAAGGAGAUGAAU
Long non-coding RNA from Nymphaea colorata (pocket water lily), 743 nucleotides. RefSeq lists it as uncharacterized. The transcript has 4 exons. NCBI's taxonomy places the organism in Eukaryota, Viridiplantae, Streptophyta, Magnoliopsida, Nymphaeales, Nymphaeaceae. The record is from RefSeq and is a predicted model, not a curated record.